CGGGACGGGUGAGUAAUGCUUGGGAAUCUAGCUUAUGAGGGGGGAUAACUACGGGAAACUGUAGCUAAUACCGCGUAAUAUCGAAAGAUUAAAGUGUGGGACCUUCGGGCCACAUGCCAUAAGAUGAGCCCAAGUGGGAUUAGGUAGUUGGUGAGGUAAAGGCUCACCAAGCCGACGAUCUCUAGCUGGUCUGAGAGGAUGACCAGCCACACUGGGACUGAGACACGGCCCAG
This 233-nucleotide ribosomal RNA is filed under the name uncultured bacterium. RNAcentral describes it as "partial 16S ribosomal RNA". It matches the Rfam family "Bacterial small subunit ribosomal RNA", at positions 100 to 334 of the family's 1533-position model. The record is from RNAcentral.